RNAcentral lists this microRNA precursor (87 nucleotides) under Chlorocebus sabaeus (green monkey). RNAcentral's name for it is "miRNA (ENSCSAG00000022303.1)". The record is from RNAcentral. Lineage: Eukaryota; Metazoa; Chordata; Mammalia; Primates; Cercopithecidae.
AAAUAACAUAUAUAUGUUAAUAUGUAUAUAUGUAUGUGUGUGUGCGUGUGUGUGUAUAUAUAUAUAUACACACACACACACAUACAU